AGGUUGAGAGUGAUUCACAUAGAGAGGGAAGGAGAGGGAUUUAUAAAGGGGAUCUAAAGCUCCGACAAACUCUAGAGUCUCGAUCCUAAUCGAGUUCGAAAAAGAAAAACGAACUCCAUCUGGAGUCCUCUUCUGCCUCACGUGCCCAGCACGUGUGGUUCUAUUUUAUUUUUCUUCAUUUAUUUUGCUUUAAGAUUCAUGCAUGAAAAAUUUAAGGAUUCGGAUCCUUACACAUACUAUACCCAUUUAAAAUUUAAAAAUAAAAAAGUA
This 270-nucleotide long non-coding RNA is filed under the name Elaeis guineensis (African oil palm). RNAcentral describes it as "long non-coding RNA (EGUI_LNC047995)". Lineage: Eukaryota; Viridiplantae; Streptophyta; Magnoliopsida; Arecales; Arecaceae. The record is from RNAcentral.